GGGAAUGUGGCCUAGUGGUAGAGUGCUUGCCUAGCAUGCAUGAAGCCCUGGGUUCGAUUCCUCAGUACCA
Non-coding RNA from Dipodomys ordii (Ord's kangaroo rat), 70 nucleotides. The record is from Rfam. NCBI's taxonomy places the organism in Eukaryota, Metazoa, Chordata, Mammalia, Rodentia, Heteromyidae.